CUAGUUGGUAGGGUAACGGCUUACCAAGGCAACGAUCGAUAGCUGGUGUGAGAGCACGACCAGCCACACGGGCACUGAGAUACGGGCCCGACUCCUACGGGAGGCAGCAGUAAGGAAUAUUGGUCAAUGGACGAAAGUCUGAACCAGCCAUGCCGCGUGAAGGAUGAAGGCCCUCUGGGUUGUAAACUUCUUUUAUCUAUGAAGAAAUGUCCUGUUUCUACGGGAUUUGACGGUAAUAGAUGAAUAAGCACCGGCUAACUCCGUGCCAGCAGCCGCGGUAAUACGGAGGGUGCAAGCGUUAUCCGGAUUUACUGGGUUUAAAGGGUGCGUAGGUGGGUUGGUAAGUCAGUGGUGAAAUACUUUCGCUUAACGAAGGAACUGCCAUUGAUACUACCAGUCUUGAAUACAGUGGAGGUAGGCGGAAUGCGUCAUGUAGCGGUGAAAUGCUUAGAUAUGACGCAGAACACCAAUUGCGAAGGCAGCUUGCUACACUGUUAUUGACACUGAGGCACGAAAGCGUGGGGAUCAAACAGGAUUAGAUACCCUGGUAGUCCACGCCCUAAACGAUGAUCACUCGAUCUCAGCGAUACACUGUUGGGGUCUAUGUGAAAACAUUAAGUAAUCCACCUGGGGAGUACGAUCGCAAGAUUGAAACUCAAAGGAAUUGACG
Molecule: ribosomal RNA, 670 nt
Filed under: uncultured Bacteroidota bacterium
Lineage: Bacteria; Pseudomonadati; Bacteroidota
Description: SSU rRNA
Rfam family: Bacterial small subunit ribosomal RNA
Source: RNAcentral